RNAcentral lists this ribosomal RNA (305 nucleotides) under uncultured bacterium. RNAcentral's name for it is "partial 16S ribosomal RNA". It matches the Rfam family "Bacterial small subunit ribosomal RNA", at positions 505 to 807 of the family's 1533-position model. The record is from RNAcentral.
ACAGCAGCAGCCGCGGGAAUACGAAGGGGGCUAGCGUUGCUCGGAAUCACUGGGCGUAAAGGGUGCGUAGGCGGGUCUUUAAGUCAGGGGUGAAAUCCUGGAGCUCAACUCCAGAACUGCCUUUGAUACUGAAGAUCUUGAGUUCGGGAGAGGUGAGUGGAACUGCGAGUGUAGAGGUGAAAUUCGUAGAUAUUCGCAAGAACACCAGUGGCGAAAGCACUCUGCUGGGCCGACACUGACACUGAGAGACGAAAGCUAGGGGAGCAAAUGGGAUUAGAUACCCCAGUAGUCCCUGUCUCUUAUAC